UAUGACGUCAUCAAACUCAAUGCACGAUCUUAUAGGGUAAUUUCCUGUGACGCAGACUACGAUGUACACACAUGUUUAAAGACUGAUGCCCCACGCGUCUGAUGUAGUAAUGACAUAUGACCUGGUGGCAGAGAAAGUAAUACAAGCCAAGUUGACGUACUGGCUCCACGCUUUGGCGGCUAUUGCUGCUGCAAUGACGUUCUCCAGUAGCAGGUGCCAGCCUACUACAAAGCCACAAAGCUCACCGAGCGCGACAUACGUGUAGAAG
Long non-coding RNA from Dreissena polymorpha, 268 nucleotides. RefSeq lists it as uncharacterized. The transcript is spliced from 3 exons. NCBI's taxonomy places the organism in Eukaryota, Metazoa, Mollusca, Bivalvia, Myida, Dreissenidae. The record is from RefSeq and is a predicted model, not a curated record.